This 518-nucleotide ribosomal RNA is filed under the name Philopota sp. SLW-2002b. Its description in RNAcentral is "eukaryotic LSU rRNA". It matches the Rfam family "Eukaryotic large subunit ribosomal RNA", at positions 1890 to 2330 of the family's 3401-position model. Lineage: Eukaryota; Metazoa; Arthropoda; Insecta; Diptera; Acroceridae. The record is from RNAcentral.
AUAGAAUAAUGUAUGUAAGGGAAGUCGGCAAAUUAGAUCCGUAACUUCGGGAUAAGGAUUGGCUCUGAAGAUUGAGAUAGUCGGGCUUGAUUGGGAAGCAAUAAUAUGGUUUAUGUACUCGUUCUGGGUAAAUUAGAAUGAAGUUUAUAUGUGUAAAACAUAUGAAUGGAGUUUGUUCCCCGGAUAGUAAGUUACGUAACCAAUUGCGGAACUUUCUUGCUAAUGAUAUACUAGCAUAUUGGAAUUUUUUAAAUUCUAGUUGUUAUAUAUUUAAACGGCUAUCAAUUAACAAUCAAUUCAGAACUGGCACGGACUUGGGAAUCCGACUGUCUAAUUAAAACAAAGCAUUGUGAUGGCCCUAACGGGUGUUGACACAAUGUGAUUUCUGCCCAGUGCUCUGAAUGUCAAAGUGAAGAAAUUCAAGUAAGCGCGGGUAAACGGCGGGAGUAACUAUGACUCUCUUAAGGUAGCCAAAUGCCUCGUCAUCUAAUUGGUGACGCGCAUAAAUGGAUUAACGG